CUAAAAAAAUCCCUUUUGUUCAUUAUUCAAUGACCUGAAAGUGUCUCAUUUCAUCUCAACAUCAACCCUGAACCAACAAGCAGUCAGCCUUCUUCAAGCCCACCCCUAGCAGAGGAAAACAAUGAACGAUGCUGCCAGGGACAGAUGGGCUACAGCAGUUCAGCAAAGGAAAGAACCGGGAGAAUUUGGGUACCAGAAGCAUUGGCAUCAAGAAAUAAAAAGAACAUAUUCUGCUAGUCAUCUGAAACUAAAAGGGGAAAUUGAAGAAAGAACGUGUCAUUUGUUGGAAUUUCCUCCAAUCCUGGAACAGAUCUUAAGGAGAGCUCGCCAUCUUGGAAGACUUCUACCAACAAUAAAUGAUGCUCUAGGGUCAUUGACCUUGACAGGGGAAAAGGCAACUGAGAUCUCUGCCCUGCAACCAUGGAUGAGAAAACCCAACAUAUGCAUGCCUCUGUACGGUAUCGUCGAGUACCAUUACAACACCAUUUAUUUCCAUCCGUGCUCAACCCUUCAAUGAAUGACCUUCAAGCAACAAACUCUGUUUAAUUAGCUCCCCACAAAUAUCCUGGGGAGUUGAAAUUGCUUGAGUUAUUAAUUAAAGGGAAAACAAUGAGAAGGAGAGA
RNAcentral lists this long non-coding RNA (623 nucleotides) under Monodelphis domestica (gray short-tailed opossum). Its description in RNAcentral is "lncRNA (ENSMODG00000033566.2)". Lineage: Eukaryota; Metazoa; Chordata; Mammalia; Didelphimorphia; Didelphidae. The record is from RNAcentral.